This is a small nuclear RNA of Rhincodon typus (whale shark), 107 nucleotides long. NCBI's taxonomy places the organism in Eukaryota, Metazoa, Chordata, Chondrichthyes, Orectolobiformes, Rhincodontidae. The record is from RefSeq and is a predicted model, not a curated record.
GUGCUCGCUUUGGUGGCAUUUAUACUAAAAUUGGAAUGAUACAGAGAAGAUUAGCAUGGCCCCCACAGAAGGAUGACAGACAAAUUCAUCAAGCAUUCCACGUUUUU